RNAcentral lists this unclassified non-coding RNA (276 nucleotides) under Hevea brasiliensis (rubber tree). Lineage: Eukaryota; Viridiplantae; Streptophyta; Magnoliopsida; Malpighiales; Euphorbiaceae. The record is from RNAcentral.
GCAGAUUGAUCUUUGUCUGACGUGUGAUGGUAGUGAACAAGUCCUUAAGAUAAAAUUCCUGGAAGAAAUAGGCGCAUGGCUAGUCUUAUUAAAGGCAGAAACAAGAAUUGGAACAUUGAAAGUGGCUGACGAUGCCAUCAGUAACUCUGAUUACCACUUAAAGCAUCAGCCAAAAUUGGGAUUUUGAAAACAUCACCACUGAAAUUGAGAAUAAAGAGACAAUGCCCAAGAACAUAUAAAAAGUAGCAAAUUUUAUCUGUAUCAAGAAUCAAGAAU